GAGCCUAUGGUCUAGCGGUUAUGACGUUGGUCUUACAAACCGAAGGUCGCCGGUUCAAAUCCGGCUAGGCUCA
RNAcentral lists this transfer RNA (73 nucleotides) under bacterium. RNAcentral describes it as "tRNA-Val". It matches the Rfam family "tRNA". Rfam says of the family: Transfer RNA (tRNA) molecules are approximately 80 nucleotides in length. Their secondary structure includes four short double-helical elements and three loops (D, anti-codon, and T loops). The record is from RNAcentral.